Molecule: ribosomal RNA, 434 nt
Filed under: uncultured Oscillospiraceae bacterium
Lineage: Bacteria; Bacillati; Bacillota; Clostridia; Eubacteriales; Oscillospiraceae
Description: bacterial SSU rRNA
Rfam family: Bacterial small subunit ribosomal RNA
Source: RNAcentral
ACGGAAGGCAGCAGUGGGGAAUAUUGGGCAAUGGGCGCAAGCCUGACCCAGCAAUGCCGCGUGAAGGAAGAAGGCUUUCGGGUUGUAAACUUCUUUUAAGUGGGACGAUAAUGACGGUACCACUUGAAUAUGCUCCGGCUAACUACGUGCCAGCAGCCGCGGUAAUACGUAGGGAGCAAGCGUUAUCCGGAUUUACUGGGUGUAAAGGGCGUGUAGGCGGGACUACAAGUCAGAUGUGAAAGCACGAGGCUCAACUUCGUGUCUGCAUUUGAAACUGUAGUUCUUGAGUGUUGGAGAGGCUAACGGAACUCCUAGUGUAGCGGUGAAAUGCGUAGAUAUUAGGAAGAACACCAGUGGCGAAGGCGGUUAGCUGGACAAUAACUGACGCUGAGGCGCGAAAGCGUGGGUAGCAAACAGGAUUAGAUACCCUGGUA